AUUGAACGCUGGCGGCAUGCCUUACACAUGCAAGUCGAACGGCAGCACGGGUGCUUGCACCUGGUGGCGAGUGGCGAACGGGUGAGUAAUACAUCGGAACGUACCUUAUCGUGGGGGAUAACGCAGCGAAAGCUGUGCUAAUACCGCAUACGCCCUGAGGGGGAAAGCGGGGGAUCGAAAGACCUCGCGCGAUUAGAGCGGCUGAUGCCUGAUUAGCUUGUCGGUGGGGUAAAAGCCCACCAAGGCGACGAUCAGUAGCUGGUCUGAGAGGACGAUCAGCCACACUGGGACUGAGACACGGCCCAGACUCCUACGGGAGGCAGCAGUGGGGAAUUUUGGACAAUGGGGGAAACCCUGAUCCAGCAAUGCCGCGUGAGUGAAGAAGGCCUUCGGGUUGUAAAGCUCUUUUGUCAGGGAAGAAACACCGGCUCUAACACAGUCCGGGAAUGACGGUACCUGAAGAAUAAGCACCGGCUAACUACGUGCCAGCCGCCGCCGUAA
This 501-nucleotide ribosomal RNA is filed under the name uncultured bacterium. Its description in RNAcentral is "partial 16S ribosomal RNA". It matches the Rfam family "Bacterial small subunit ribosomal RNA", at positions 29 to 523 of the family's 1533-position model. The record is from RNAcentral.